Long non-coding RNA from Numida meleagris (helmeted guineafowl), 7339 nucleotides. RefSeq lists it as uncharacterized. The transcript has 5 exons. The record is from RefSeq and is a predicted model, not a curated record. Lineage: Eukaryota; Metazoa; Chordata; Aves; Galliformes; Numididae.
GUAAUAACAUUUGAUUAGAAAGCCAGGAAAAGUGCUUAAUUAUUUUAAUUGCCUACAAUAAGUCAUAUAAAAUUAAUAGAUACCAUUAUGUACUAUAGUACUACUAGAACUACUAUGUUAUUCAAUGUGCAAAGUAUACUUUUAGUGGAAGAACUGUUUGCUUUUCCAAGUUCUAUUUAGUUAUAACAUGCAGUGAAACGUGUCUCCCUGGAAAACAUCCUUAUAUCACAAACACCGCAUCAGUACUCAGCAACACCAGUUAUUCCCUCAGAGGUGCAACAGUCAUUAAACGAUGAAGGCUUAAAUUAAAAAUAGCUAAGCUUCCUCGCACCUGCCAAUAACUAACCAAGAAAAUUUGUGCCAAACUUCUUCAAUUUAAUGAUUCAAAUUAAUGCAUUAAUUGUUUCCCCUGCACCUACCUGAAUUCAAGGGACGCUGUAGCUGAAGUGCUUUAUUAACUGCCCAACAUACAAUGCACAGCAGAUCUGCAAAGAGUUAUAUCUAACCCUCAGUUCCAUAAGUCAGCUUUGAUAAGGUAAUGAUUUACACGUUGCAAGACAAUCAAUGCAUUUCCUCCCUUUACACACUGCUUAGUAACUAUACUCAUAUUUGCCUGACGCUAGACCUUCUGCAACUCUUCAAACAUUUUUUAUGCUUACAUUGAUAUCAUUUCUCAGAACAAUUUAGAUACUAACAUGAAUCUUCACUGAAAAAGAUUAAAUAUAACGAAGAUAGGAAGUAAAAUGAGGCAGAGGAAUACGGUGGUUAAAAGAAAUUUGCAUCCGCCAACAAUAUUUUAAACUCACAGUUAGAAAACUAUGCUGUGAGCUAGUAAGCGUCAACUGCGUACAGAAAGGUUCCUCAAAAUAAGAAGUGACGUUUACUAUUUUAAAGAAAAUUAGAAAUAGGAAAGACCUAGGCCUUAGGUACACAUAUAUUCUCACAUGCUAUUUGUCCUAGAUGUAAAAUUCAAAUUCAGAAAUCAUAAUGAUCUAAGCUUACUACCGAUCUGUUUACUAUCCACAGAAUUACACCUGAAUGGCAUAUUCAUCAUACCUAUAAAGAACACAGAGGCCUAAGACAAGUGGCUAAAACACAGCAAACAAUAUUCAGAGAUCAGAUGAAUGCUUUAGAAGGGCACUGGAAAAACUCAGUCAUGUGUCCUCUUCCUGACUGUGUCUUUGGAUGAAUUCCGUACUAAAAGCAGAAAUGCCAUAGCAAUUUGUACUCUACAUAAUUUAUUUAUAUGCAAAAGAAGCUGCGCCCGAUUACUGUCAGACUGCAAGUCUGAAAAUAAAACCGCCACCGUUAUAAGUCUAGAAUUCAAUUUCUGUGCAGUUUCGAUGUAUUAAAGAUACAUAGAGACAAUAAAACUUUUUAUUUACAGAUUUCAGUAGUGCGGACAACAUUGUAGCCUCCCAGAAUGGCAGUCUUUUAAAUGUAAGUCUACUGACAUUCUAUAUUAACUAUCCUCAUACAGACACUGCAUUAGAAACACGUACAUUAAAACUGUGAGCACUAUAAUUAUCCCUAUUAACAUAAAGCAGUUCUGGAACUGCAUUUGUUUUAUUAUUUCUAAUUGCAUCAACGAAGAUCAAAAUCUGUGUACUGAGCUGAGUACCGAUUGCUCUCAGGGAGUAGUGACAAAGCUCAGUUUUCAAGUUACCUUGCACUUGGAAGACUCCUGUAUGAAAGAAAGUCUCCGACUGCUACUACCAUUCAGCAUACUAAAGCGUCUCUUUGUAUCAGAAGAUUUCAAAACGAUUCCUUUUGUCUGCACCACGGGAGAAUGUGGCAUGCUAAUACAACAUGUAAUUCCUCACAAAUUAUGUUUGCUUCCCACAUUACACCAAACACGUUAUUUCUUUGAGAAAUAGCUGCCAUAUUGCCUUUGCUUAUUUUUCUUCUGAAUGAUCAUUCUUCCUCUUCAAGAAGCUUCACUCUUUUUGACCAAGGGGAAACAGAAAGGAUGUGAAAAGAAAUAAUCAGGAAGCGCGUGUAGUCGCUCACAUCAUCAUCAAGGCAACUGCGACAGACAGCUUCACAAUCGAAGCGGCAGAAGCUAUUACUGUCUCCCCUCCCCCACCAAAAUGGUGAGGAUGGGGCAAACAGUGGGGAUGAAAGCUGUUUAUUAUUUAAGUUCAAGGGAAGCUGCACGUUUCAAGCCACAAAACCUAUGAAUAUUCUAAAUGAAAAAGACCUUCCUUCAACAAAGUUGGAUUUCAGAGGACUGCCUUAAUUUAGAUAGUAAAGGAUAAUAGAAUACGUUUACUUCCUUUCCGCUCUCACAACAUGUUUUGAUACGAAUUGCCAAAGCCUACUGCUCCAUGCUGUUUCAAAACACUUUAAUAGAAACACGCGCAGCGCCUUCAUUGCAUUUUCCUCUACAAUACUCGAAGCGUUCAGCUGCUAUUUUCCCUUGAUGUGACCUACAUAACAAGAGAUCUGCCUCCAUAGAGAUAACAGUUACAAUAGCUGUGGCUGAUGAAAAACAAUGGAGAUGUUUCAUCAAACAUACAGUUCUUAAAUAUUAGAUCUGUUCUAAUGGUCCCAAUUACCUCUUUAAACUAAUAUUUGUGGAAAGCAUCAACCCUCCUACCCAUCCCCUACUGCCCUAAAUGAACUUGUUUAGAAACAAAGUCUUUCUGCAAUCUGGUUUCCAACAAAGCAAAAUAACAGAACGAGAUAUAAACAGAACACAAAUCAACAAAUUCCACAAUGCAGGAAAAUAGCACAAAGUUACUGCACCUUCACGAGUCACUGCAGCACUACUGAGAGACAACAAACCACCUAUCGCAUACAUCUAAUGCACGUGUCAAGCGAGGCACCUCAGAAGGGCAUUUAAGCUAAGGCAGCGUAACAAUGAGACUGGAGAGCAAAAUUAAACAAGUAGAAAUGCUUAGCAAUAACCAACUGAAGGGUAGGAAAGAUAACACUGACUUGUGGUGGGGCCUUCUUAACAUACGAGUCCCACAGCUACAGUCACGCUGUGAUUUCCUUUCUCAGCUGUAGGACUGCACACCUUUGAACUGCAGACCUCACAAAGGAAUACCGCCACAGAGAGAAACUUGUUUACGUUUCACUGCAAGCGCUCAUCAGGCUCAAAUGGCACUGAGACACACAGCACAGCCAUGUGUUUUCCCCCUGGAAGGCGGUCUUGACUAUUACCUUCCCAUAGAUGUAGAAGAACUUCUCACUCGUUUGCAUCUAUCAACUCAAAACGAUGCCUGGGUAGGAGAAUGACUCAAUGUUGUUUUACAAAACCAAACCUCAGGGAAAACUAUAUAAAACCAAGACAUUCACGUUACUUCGUGCCAGUGCACGAAAACACUUUUAAUUCAAAUACACUCCCUGGCACUGUUGGCCACAAGAAAUACAAAUUAUGAUGUUGCAAAAAGGAGUUCACUUUCUGUACACCUAUCAUUUGCUAAACAGCUUACGUAAGCAAAGCAGCCAUCUAAUGAUACACAAAGCCUUCUGCGCUCUCUUAUCCUACAGACAUAUCUUCUAUAAUUACCACUACAUUUAGUAAUUAAUGUUGAUAGGUCUGCAGCUAUUAUUUUGCUUUUCACUAGGUCUUAAAAAUAAAAAAAUUCUACAGUGUAAUUUAAGUGUGAUGGAGUUCCAUGCCCUCUCCCUCCCCCCAGGACAAAUUCACAUCCAAGCUCUAUGACUUCGUGAUAUCCCAUUUUAACAUUCUCCUUCACUUCCUUUCACAAAAGCGGGCUUCAGUACCACUCUGUCAUUUACUAUUUUAAAUAAUUAAAAUACAAUAUAGUAUGAGAUAAAAGAAAAGAAAGGGAAGAAAGUCAACAGACACUACAGAUGCCAAAUUCGUUACGUAGAAAAGGAACAUGUGGUAGGAGAAAGGGAAAAAAAAAACAUGACUAACUUCCUCUAACAGGGGUUUGCAGAUGAAUAAAGGUGCCUAUGCAAGAACUGAACCACAACUGGAGAUGGCAGGAGAGACCUUGCAGCAUAGAAAUGAAGCAAAGGAGUCAGUCGUCACCCAGGUGACAGGAACAACAGCACAGAAACUGAAAAAUCAGCAUUUAUUAAUACAGAAGCAGAAGCCUGUGAAAUCAGUGCUGAAGACUGCAGAGAAGGAAUAUCAGAGAAGAAAAUGUGUCGUGAGAAGAUCUAAACUCUUGGCCUUACCUUGGAAGGAAGCAGCAAGAAAAACACAGAAAUGUAGGGAGCGUGCCGCCAAACCUUCAGCUUAUAGUUACCCCAUCAUCAAUAGCAAAUUCAGCUACGUAUUUUGAUCAUUUAGUUGCAAUUCCACUCAGAAUACCUAGGUCUAAAACAAACAAACAAACCAAACCGGAAAACACACACCAAGAGAAAUUACUUAUUAAAGGAACAUUUCUAUAUUGACAAAUUGGACUUCCUACAUAUUAAGGAGUAUUAAAACCACAUAUUAUGGAUUAAAAACUCUCAGAUCAAAAUUAUUCAACUGCUUACUAGAAAAGAAAACUUGAAAAUCAUGAAGUUGAGCCUACAGCGUACAAUCUACUGAACGAGUACUGAAGUUCAGAAGCAGCUAUCAUUUGUCUAACCUUAAGGUUCCUUUCAAUCUAAAGGAACAAACAAAAAAAAAUAACCCAAAACCACAACACGGCUGCAGCUAUAGGAACAAACAGAAGCCAUCAAAAACUGAAAACAAGAAACAGGAAAACCUGUUAUUCUGUAGUAGAUGCUGAAUGUUACCCUGAAGUGGCCUGCACAGCUUCACAAUUCUAGCCUCAUGCAAAGCUGAAGUUUCAUUUCCACGUUCCUGCCUGCCGCUAUGUUUUCUCAUCCAGAUGAGGAAAGUGAAGUUGGCUCAGUGUCUGUCAAGCACUGGACUACACAAGACAAAUAUUAAGCAAUACGAACCAGACUCAAUUUGCAUUUUGGGUCCACAUGAGUACUGCUCAGAAAUUUAAUCAGGUGGCAGAAAGUAAACAGACACCACUCAUCAGUUUCUGCACAACUUGUAAGAAGCUAGGAGUUCUGUGAGCACGUCGGUGAUGAAGUUACCUGGUUUCUUCCUAUAAGCUAAUGCUCAGAUCCAGUAAAGAAGUUCGCUAAACAGCACGGUUUCAGCAGGCUCCGACAUCCUGACCUGCAGACAGUGGUUUCUGCACCCUAGGUGGCCUGAUGCACGCCUUCGUGCGCUGCUUUUGAACCUGGAUGUCAGGGGUGGCCAUCCUGCUCCUCCUUUUCCACAUCAGGGGACUGUAACUCUAAUGAGAGCUCCAACAACGUUUCCAGGAAGAACAUUAAUGAUUAACAAGAAUCUCCAAUGAAGAAUACAGACAUUCUUCAAUCCAAAGCCUCAGAAUACAACCUUCAGCAAAGCCAAUCCUAUCUGCAAAGCAGGAGAUCUAAACCAGAACCUAAACACCUCUGUGGCACUGCUCUCUACCAUACACCUGCUUCUCUGAAAUGCAACUCUUGAAGAAGUAUGUCUGAAUAGAGAGCAAAAUGAAGCUAAUGCCUGCGUGACUUCGUUGAAGUACAGUGCCAACUGAUUAUGACUGGGCCAUCUAGCAGCAUUCCUCCUUGGAGGACAGGACAGGAAAUAUAUAUAUUGUCUAGUUACAAACGUGAUUUUAGAUAAGGGGAAAGCAACAACAGGAAAUACAUAUGAAUCAAAGAUUUCGGCACAUUACUCAAUGCUGCGUAAGAUGAUCUCGUGCAGUGGGUGCUGUAGCUUUGGUAUCUUGAGAGUCACCACUUUUUCUAGAUUUGAGGACAUUAACAAAACCUUACUCGUGCACUUCUAAGUAAACUUUUAUGCUAAGAACAAGGAUUCGCACACACGAACCUCACCCAGAUGCCACAUACUGCUUACAUUUCAGCACGCUCAGUAAGCACGCUUUAUUCAGAAGCACUAAAAAAAAUGACGUGCUGCAGAACGCACACCGUUCCCACGCUACUUCCACCCUCGCUGCGACACACGCGCGUCAUCGCUCCCGAAUUCACACAUCCUUCUGCGGGGUUCAGGCUGACAGCAACCUCCAGGAGACGCCCGGGGGUGUCCCGCGCGCGGCGCGGCGCCCACAGGGCCGGCUGGCUCCUAGCCACGGGCUGAGGGCGCUGCCUGGGGCAGAAACACCGUCCCACGCGUGGCUCUCCGCCCCGCUCCCACAGGCAGGAAGGGGAGCAGCAGCAGCAGCCCGAGCCCUGCAGAGCGCGCCCCCAGCCCCCCUCAGUCUGUAUGCAGAACAAUGCGUGUGAACUGUAGAAGGAAACUCUUGAUGUAUGAAUAUCAAACACUGCUCUCACAAGCCACAGGCACAGUUUCUAUACCAGCUGACUCAAAGGUUCUCAGAUGCCCCGAGGAUAAGACUCAGCCACACCUGCUGGGUUAGGGCAGGACUUGGCUGCUCUUGCUGUCUGCAAGGAGUGAUAAUUGCUGGGGGAGCAUCUACUUCUUUCUGCACAGCUGCCCGACACACAGGCUCCCAGUCUCCUUCCUUGGGAGCAACAGCCCAGCCUUCCAGGGCACUAGCAAAGAGCUCUAGGUGGUCCCGGCCUCCAAUGACUCUUCCCAACUACUGCCUGAUGGGAAAGCAUCAAUUUCUUGGGGCUCAUCCUGAGAGGACUUAAGAGAUCUCAAGCUCCCAUCGCUGUCACCGAGAAAUCUGGAUAAAAAAGAGCCUUGUGAGCCUGUCCUUACAGCUUUAAAUAAAUCCCCUGGGGAGCUGCAGAUCCAGCCUGGAACACCGUGGGAGGCUGAGGCCGCUUCCUGCUCACAGGGGAGGUGAGGCUUGUAAUGGUCCCUCCCUAUAGCCAGGGGUUUCUGAAUUCAUCUGUGAUGCUGAGUUGUUUUGCAGUACAGGCAGGUGUUCAACACAUGCACUACUUGCCUCAGUUUGUUGCUUCAUCCUUAUUUAUGACAGCAAGAAAGCUCUUCAUGCUGCCUCUCUCGAUUGCAUUUUGGAGGUAGUCCUCUGGCCAAAGACUUGCAACACCGUCUCAUUUGCUUGCACAAAUCAUUAUCACUGUGGGUACAGAAAAAUAAAUUGUCAAGAAUUAAGUAAGGAAAUGUAAACACCAAGGCUACUGAAGUGCAGGAUGGGCCCCACCAAGCCGUGUAACAGGAAGAGCUAAAGCCAGUGAGGUCUCACCAUUCAGUGCUUGGUGCUUUAGGUGCAAGAUGCCUGUUGCAGCACUCUGAAGUGCACACAAAUGAUGUUUAGUUGCCAAUGCAAGCAUCUUAACUGCUGACCAGUGAGAAUGGGCAAAACAGCAAGUGGAGACACUGCAUUAACGUAGCAAAGGCAAGCCCUGAUUAUUUCACAGUCAUCUGAUAACAGUGCAAAGUAUCAUCUGUCACAUGCCCAAGGUA